CUAAUACCGCAUACGUCCUACGGGUGAAAGCAGGGGACCUUCAGGCCUUGCGCCAUCCCAUGAGCCUCUUGUCGGAUUAGCUAGUUGGUGGGGUAAUGGCUCACCAAGGCGACGAUCCGUAACUGGUCUGAGAGGAUGAUCACCCCCACUGGAACUGAGACACGGUCCCCCACUCCUACGGGAGGCAGCAUUGGGGAAUUUUGGACCAUCGGCGAAACGCCUGAUUCCCCCCUUGCCCCGUGUGCGAAGAAGGUCUUCGGAUUGUAAAGCACUUUUUAGUUGGGAGGAAGGGCCAUUACCUAAUACUUUAUGGUUUUGACGUUCCCGACAGAAUAAGCACCUUUUUACUCUGUGCCAAGCACCCCUCGGUAAUACAGAGGGGGCAAGCCCUUUUUCCGAAUUUUUGGGUGUAUAA
This 415-nucleotide ribosomal RNA is filed under the name Pseudomonas libanensis. RNAcentral describes it as "partial 16S ribosomal RNA". It matches the Rfam family "Bacterial small subunit ribosomal RNA", at positions 163 to 565 of the family's 1533-position model. Lineage: Bacteria; Pseudomonadati; Pseudomonadota; Gammaproteobacteria; Pseudomonadales; Pseudomonadaceae. The record is from RNAcentral.